This 560-nucleotide ribosomal RNA is filed under the name uncultured Glomus. RNAcentral describes it as "eukaryotic LSU rRNA". The stretch from base 160 to 313 matches the Rfam family "5.8S ribosomal RNA". Lineage: Eukaryota; Fungi; Glomeromycota; Glomeromycetes; Glomerales; Glomeraceae. The record is from RNAcentral.
GGAAGUAAAAGUCGUAACAAGGUUUCCGUAGGUGAACCUGCGGAAGGAUCAUUACUGAUUUAGCGAACCGAGCGUUAGCGAGGUUUUGCGAUCACUUAUAUUUAAAACCCACUCUUUGAACGUAUAAAAUUUUAUGUAUUAAUGAUAAAAAUAAAAGAUCACUUUCAACAACGGAUCUCUUGGCUCUCGCAUCGAUGAAGAACGUAGCGAAGUGCGAUAAGUAAUGUGAAUUGCAGUAUUCCGUGAAUCAUCGAAUCUUUGAACGCAUAUUGCACUUUCUGGUAUUCCGGAAAGUAUGCCUGUUUGAGGGUCAGUUAAAUAAAAAUCGGUGUUGUUGCCGCUUUUCGUGGUGACGCGUCGGAAUUGAGUUGUCUUACCUUCGGUUAAGUGACUUAAAAUUUUGUAUGAUUUUCGAACGUAUUUAAAUUUAUUUGAACGUUUGAUAUCGAAUGCUUAUUAGGUUCGGUCAUCCUCAUGACUCGCGCCUAUAAUUUUUCAUUAAAUGACCUCAAAUCAGGUAAGAAUACCCGCUGAACUUAAGCAUAUCAAUAAGCGGAGGA